Molecule: ribosomal RNA, 494 nt
Filed under: uncultured bacterium
Lineage: Bacteria
Description: partial 16S ribosomal RNA
Rfam family: Bacterial small subunit ribosomal RNA
Source: RNAcentral
GAUGAACGCUGGCGGCGUGCUUAACACAUGCAAGUCGAACGGUGAGGCGACUUCCUUUUUGGUGUGUGUGGAUGAGUGGAGAACGGGUGAGUAACACGUGAAUAACCUGAUCCCUUCUUCUGGAUAACCGCAUGAAAGUGUGGCUAAUACGGGAUAUUCUGGGCCUGUCGCAUGAUGGGUCUGGGACAGUUAUUCUUUCGGUGGGGGAUGGGCUCGCGGCCUAUCAGCUUGUUGGUGGGGUGACGGCCUACCAAGGCGGUGACGAGUAGCCGCCCUGAGAGGGUGGGCGGUCACACUGGGACGGAGACGUGGCGCAGACUCCGAGGGGAGGCAGCAGGGAGGAAUAUGGCACGGGGGGCGGAAGGCUGAUGCAGCGCCGCCGCGGGGGGGAUGGAGGCCGGCGGGUUGUGAACCGUUUUCGCGAGUGAAGCAGGCCUGCCGCGGGUGUGGGUGGGUUGACGGUAGCUGGAUAAGAAGCGCCGGCUAACUACGUG